Molecule: ribosomal RNA, 320 nt
Filed under: uncultured marine eukaryote
Lineage: Eukaryota
Description: SSU rRNA
Rfam family: Eukaryotic small subunit ribosomal RNA
Source: RNAcentral
UUGCAGUUAAAAAGCUCAUAGUUGGAUUUCUGGUGGGAGCACGGGUCGGCCUUCACGGGUUGUACUGUUGUUGCGUCCUGCCGUUUCGGAGGGAAUAAUCUCGCUAUUAAGUUAGCGUGAUCGGGAACUCUGUCGUUUACUGUGAAAAAAUUAGAGUGUUCAAAGCAGGCCUUCGCUGUGAAUACAUUAGCAUGGAAUAAUAAGAUAGGACUAUAGUGCUAUUUUGUUGGUUUGCGUACUAUGGUAAUGAUUAAUAGGGAUAGUUGGGGGUACUCAUAUUCAAUUGUCAGAGGUGAAAUUCUUGGAUUUAUGGAAGAUGA